UACGAAGGGGCUAGCGUUGCUCGGAAUCACUGGGCGUAAAGCGCACGUAGGCGGAUUGUUAAGUCAGGGGUGAAAUCCUGGAGCUCAACUCCAGAACUGCCUUUGAUACUGGCGAUCUUGAGUCCGGGAGAGGUGAGUGGAACUGCGAGUGUAGAGGUGAAAUUCGUAGAUAUUCGCAAGAACACCAGUGGCGAAGGCGGCUCACUGGCCCGGUACUGACGCUGAGGUGCGAAAGCGUGGGGAGCAAACAGGG
This 253-nucleotide ribosomal RNA is filed under the name uncultured bacterium. RNAcentral describes it as "partial 16S ribosomal RNA". It matches the Rfam family "Bacterial small subunit ribosomal RNA", at positions 524 to 777 of the family's 1533-position model. The record is from RNAcentral.